CCUCAUUAAAGUCCAGUAGAUCACUUCCUACUCAUCACUACAUCCUGUAUCUGGUCCUCAUUAAAGUCCAGUAGAUCACUUCCUACUCAUCACUACAUCCUGUAUCUGGUCCUCAUUAAAGUCCCGUAGAUCACUUCCUUAUUCACUCUUUUUGUUUGGUUUAUAAAGCUCUACUAUACAUGGUGGGUUAACUCUGAGGUUCCUAGGGUCGCCACCAAAUUAGGAGAAUCCGCUUUUAAUUUUAAUGUGCCUCACUGCAGAACGAAUAACAAUAGGAUAUUCUGGUGCAGUUUAGUGUGUUGGGGACCUAGUAGCUGAGGAAAGGAACGUUGUUGUGCUUUUAAAAAAAAACAUUUUAUAAGGCAUUGUAUUGAUUACUGUUUGGUUUCACAUCGUUUUUUUAUUUAUUGUUGUAGUACUGUAAAUCAGGGCACCCUGGGGGAUGACACCCUGGUCUCAUUGGUUUUCCCCUGAAUAAAUGAAAAAAAAAAAAAAAUGACAGAUCUGGAUUUAUGGUGGUGUGUGGGUCUGGCUGGUUGCCCAGGCGACUGACGACAGUAGACCUAUCCCUGACCUGCAGAUCUUUAGGCAUAGUGGAGACAGGACUCCACCUGCUGGUAAGAACCUAUUAUCAGAAUCUUCAUCCAUCCACUCCUCAUCAUCACCUCUCAAGCAAGGUUCAUGUGUAGUGGCAUGAUUUAAGCUACUGAUAUUGAAGGCGUAACCCGGGACUCGAUCCCGGGUCCAGCGACUAUCAAGCCAACACAUGAAAUCGCUACAUUAUAUCGGUUAACUCUGACACAACACCUUAAGACAUAGCCCACACAUGAACAAUGUAACCACGGACGUGGAGGGGGAAAAAAAAGACUGAUCCUAAAACAUAAAUUGACAGAUUUAAAUCAUCAAGGCACAACAAUCAUUGUCAGCUGAAAGGUCAAAAGGUCAGUUGAUAGAUGAGGUAGAACAACACGAGAGGCAUCUAUGGACAAUAUCGUCUCUGUCCCAAAUGGCACCAAAUCGAUUCCCUAUAUAGUGCACUACUUUUAACCAGGGCCUAUAGGGCUUUGGUCAAAUGUAGUGCACUAGGUAGGGAAUAGGGUGGCAUUUAUGGGUCUACCAUCCAUCAUUACCCAUAAUGCUUCAGGAAGGUUCUGUUUUUGACAAUAACUAUAAUGAUACAGUCUCCAGUCCACCAGUACAGGUAUUGUGAUACAGUCCACCAGUACAGGUAUUGUGAUAGUCUCCAGUCCACUAGUACAGGUAUUGUGAUACAGUCCACUAGUACAGGUAUUGUGAUACAGUCCACCAGUACAGGUAUUGUGAUACAGUCCACUAGUACAGGUAUUGUGAUACAGUCCACUAGUACAGGUAUUGUGAUACAGUCCACUAGUACAGGUAUUGUGAUACAGUCCACUAGUACAGGUAUUGUGAUACAGUCCACUAGUACAGGUAUUGUGAUACAGUCCACUAGUACAGGUAUUGUGAUACAGUCCACUAGUACAGGUUUUUUUUUAACCUAGGAAUAUAGUGUUCUCUGCAGUGUGUUCUCUGCUGUCUGUGCAGUGUGUUCUCUGCUGUCUGUGCAGUGUGUUCUCUGCUGUCUGUGCUGUGCAGUGUGUUCUCUGCUGUCUGUGCAGUGUGUUCUCUGCUGUCUGUGCUGUGCAGUGUGUUCUCUGCAGUCUGUGCAGUGUGUUCUCUGCUUUCUGUUCUGUGCAGUGUGUUCUCUGCUGUCUGUGCUGUGUGUUCUCUGCUGUCUGUGCAGUGUGUUCUC
Long non-coding RNA from Oncorhynchus tshawytscha (Chinook salmon), 1771 nucleotides. NCBI's taxonomy places the organism in Eukaryota, Metazoa, Chordata, Actinopteri, Salmoniformes, Salmonidae. The record is from Ensembl.